UAUUAUAAGAACCAGUAAAAGAGAUCAUUACCAUGCACUAUUAGAACAGAAUAAAGGUAACACACAAGAAAUAUGGAAAAAACUUAACCAAGUAAUCAGAAAUAGUCCUAAAAAAUGGAUUAUCCAGAGUAUUUUAUCAAAGGCAAAAACACUAUUUUGGAAAAAACUGCAGAAAUAGCAACUGAAUUUAAUGAGUAUUUUGUCAACAUCGGCAGUAACCUAGCAAAACAAAUUCCUGAUCCAACAAACUUGUUUGAAAUAGAUAGAUACGUAGAAAAAAACUCCUCCACGAUGUUCCUUACUGCUGUAAAACAAGAAGAAGUAUCAAAUAUUAUAAAAACCUUUAAAAACAAAAAGUCAACUGAUUGCUUUAAUAUAGAUAUGACAAUAAUCAAGCAGAUUAUAGAAUAUGUAGUGCGACCUUUCACGCACAUAUGCAACCUGUCAUUCAAAGCUGGUAUCUUUCCAUCAAAAAUGAAAAUUGCUAAAGUUAUUCCAAUCUAUAAAAGUGGAGAAAGACAUCUGUUUACAAAUUACAGACCAAUAUCACUACUACCACAAUUUUCAAAAAUAUUAGAAAAACUAUUUUCUCGCAGACUUGAUAGCUUUAUACAAAAGCAUGCGCUGUUAAGUGAGAAUCAAUAUGGCUUCAGGGAAAAACGGACCACCUCAAUGGCAGUUAUGGAGUUUGUGGAAGCAAUAGCCACUAAUAUAGACAACAAAGAAUUUACUGUUGGGGUUUUCCUAGAUCUAAAAAAAGCUUUUACACAAUAGAUCACAGUAUAUUAUUGAAAAAACUAGAAAGAUAUGGCAUUAGAGGUGUAGCUUAUAAAUGGAUAAAAAGUUAUUUAGAAAACAGAUAUCAGUACGUGCAACUCAACAAUAAAAAAACGAAUCAACUGAAAAUCACUCACGGAGUUCCUCAGGGGUCAGUGCUUGGUCCAAAACUAUUCAUCUUAUAUAUAAAUGAUAUCUGCAAGGUCUCAAAACAAUUUAAAUGUGUCCUAUUUGCUGAUGAUACAACUUUCUACUGUUCUGGAAUAAAUCUGAAACAGCUCCUGACAACCGUAGAAAAUGAAUUAAACAAAUUAAAAAACUGGUUCGACAGAAAUAAAUUGUCACUUAACCUGAAAAAAUCGAAGUUAAUUGUUUUUGGCACAAGACCAAUCAAACACCAAACUAAAAUUAUGGUAAACUCAAUUGAAAUAGAAAGAGCGUAUGAAACCAAGUUUCUCGGAUUAGUAAUAGACUCAAAACUAUGUUGGAAACCACAUAUCGAUAACGUAAAAAGAAAAAUAGCCAAGACCGUAGGGAUCCUCUACAAAACCAAGGAAGUGCUAAAUAAGAGAUCUUUGUACACAUUAUACACUUCAUUAUUAUUACCAUAUAUGACCUACUGUGUGGAAAUAUGGGGAAAUGCCUGCAAAACAAAC
Long non-coding RNA from Hippocampus zosterae (dwarf seahorse), 1433 nucleotides. RefSeq lists it as uncharacterized. The transcript has 2 exons. NCBI's taxonomy places the organism in Eukaryota, Metazoa, Chordata, Actinopteri, Syngnathiformes, Syngnathidae. The record is from RefSeq and is a predicted model, not a curated record.